Small nucleolar RNA from Ornithorhynchus anatinus (platypus), 137 nucleotides. NCBI's taxonomy places the organism in Eukaryota, Metazoa, Chordata, Mammalia, Monotremata, Ornithorhynchidae. The record is from RefSeq and is a predicted model, not a curated record.
CCCCUCUCAGGAUUGCUCCUGGAGAGUUUCCAGUCCUCUACCAGUCUCAGCUAUAAAGGAAGAGUCAAGCAGAGGCCUGUCCAUUCCAUUCCUGGCUUGGGCAGUGGCUAGCGAGUGGAAGGCCACCUGCUACAAGU